Molecule: ribosomal RNA, 440 nt
Filed under: uncultured bacterium
Lineage: Bacteria
Description: partial 16S ribosomal RNA
Rfam family: Bacterial small subunit ribosomal RNA
Source: RNAcentral
CCUACGGGUGGCAGCAGUGGGGAAUAUUGCGCAAUGGGGGAAACCCUGAUGCAGCGACGCCGCGUGAGCGAUGAAGUCUUUCGGUAUGUAAAGCUCUAUCAGCAGGGAAGAAAAUGACGGUACCUGACUACGAAGCCCCAGCUAACUACGUGCCAGCAGCCGCGGUAAAACGGAGGGGGGAAGCGGUAUUCGGAAUUACUGGGGGGAAAGGCAGCGUAGACGGCGGUGCAAGCCAGAUGUGAAAGCCCGGGGCUCAACCCCGGGACUGCAGUUGAAACUGUGCUGCUAGAGUGUCGGAGAGGGAGGCGGAAUUCCUAGUGUAGCGGUGAAAUGCGUAGAUAUUAGGAGGAACACCAGUGGCGAAGGCGGCCUGCUGGACGAUGACUGACGUUGAGGCUCGAAAGCGUGGGGAGCAAACAGGAUUAGAUACCCCAGUAGUC